This 445-nucleotide ribosomal RNA is filed under the name uncultured bacterium. Its description in RNAcentral is "bacterial SSU rRNA". It matches the Rfam family "Bacterial small subunit ribosomal RNA", at positions 330 to 792 of the family's 1533-position model. The record is from RNAcentral.
CCCAGACUCCUACGGGAGGCAGCAGUGGGGGAUAUUGCACAAUGGGGGGAACCCUGAUGCAGCGACGCCGCGUGGGUGAAGAAGCGCCUCGGCGCGUAAAGCCCUGUCAGCAGGGAAGAAAAUGACGGUACCUGAAGAAGAAGCCCCGGCUAACUACGUGCCAGCAGCCGCGGUAAUACGUAGGGGGCAAGCGUUAUCCGGAUUCACUGGGCGUAAAGGGAGCGCAGGCGGCGCGGCAAGUCUGAUGUGAAAGCCCGGGGCUCAACCCCGGGUCUGCAUUGGAAACUGUCGAGCUAGAGUGUCGGAGGGGUAAGCGGAAUUCCUAGUGUAGCGGUGAAAUGCGUAGAUAUUAGGAGGAACACCAGUGGCGAAGGCGGCUUACUGGACGAUGACUGACGCUGAGGCUCGAAAGCGUGGGGAGCAAACAGGAUUAGAUACCCCAGUA